Molecule: long non-coding RNA, 813 nt
Organism: Prionailurus viverrinus (fishing cat)
Lineage: Eukaryota; Metazoa; Chordata; Mammalia; Carnivora; Felidae
Exons: 3
Source: RefSeq, a predicted model, not a curated record
UUUUUUGGAAGAGCCUUCUCUACAAACUUUUCUGAAAAAGACAGUUUCAGACCACGUCACGGUGUCCUGAGUCGUAGCUGACUGAGCGCCCUUAUUUCCAAGUGGCCAGAACGGACGGAGGCAACCGUCGUGGGUGAGAAGUUCUUGUCAUUUGUGAUCCUUUAUUGUUAAUUCUCUUCGUGUAUUUGUCCUGCCGCUUUGUUUUGGUUGUCAGAGUUCGUUACUGAGACGAGAGUCCGGUCAUCCUGUUCCGACAGCUGCAGAUUGAGUUGGCAUGAAACACCAUGAGUUACCAGAUGGCUACAGGAAACAUGGACACAUUCUGUUCACGCAAUAGACUCCAUGACCCGAUUUCAUGAUGCCUGAGUAAGAGAGAGCAUUGUGCUUCUCCUUCAUCGUCCCACAAACUAAGCUGUGAAGAGAACGCUUAACGCUGCAAGCACCUCACAGCAGCAUAUAGAGACUUCCUCUGGGCUUUCCCAGUGAGCACAGCCUUACAGAGGAAAGUUACUGACCUCAAGGACCGAGGAGCUUGAGGACAGUAUUCUCUCACCAGUAUUAAGUAUUAGAUACAUGUAUUAAUGGAUUCAUCGUUUAAAUGAUUAGAAGAAAAUGGCCUGAAAUAUGUGAUGAUGGGGCAGAGACUGCAUCGAUAGAAAAACUUAUUUUUCCCUUAAAAUCUGACUACGAAAAUUAAAUAGACUUUUAAGAAUUUAUAAUGUGUUUUGCAAAAGAAAAAAAAUGUCUCGAUUGACUUUAAAAAACAUGAUAACGUUGCCUUCGGGCUCCCUUAAGACUUAAAAUUCUGUUGAG